GAAAUGGAGUCUUCGGCGAAGACAAGGCUUCCACUCAACUCUAUUGGUAUUAUCUACCCUUCGCCAUCACUCCAUACUAUCUCUCCACAUUGGUAUAAUCUUUCACUCAUAUAUUAUUUACCAAAGGGGGAGACAACUUAUAGAAUGGGCUCUGAUGACUCCGUUUUUGGCGAUUCAUGCCAAAGGGGGAGAGAGUAUUAGCCCAAAGCAAAAGGACCGCACCACCACCCUAAUUUUAAAUGAGUUCAAUUGAACAUUUCAAAUUGGUAUCUUAUUGUGUUCAAAAGGGGGAGAAAGUAGUAUUUCAAAAAUCAAUAUCUUAAAACCCUCUUGAACUCUAAGAGGAGGAUUUAAUCUAGGGGGAGCUUUGUUUAGUCAAAGGAAAAGCAUUUGAAACAGGGGGAGAAAUUUCCAAAUCUUAUGAUUCAUUUACCUUUGACUAUUUACAAAAGACUUUGAAAAAGAAUUUCCAAAACAUUUGCAAAAACAAAACUUGAGGUGCAAGCAUGGUCCAAAAUGUUAAAAAAAACAAAGAAAAGCAUCCAUGCAUAUUUUAUGAAAUGAAUAUUAGUUUAAUUCCAAGCAAUCUUUGCACCUACCCUAUGCAAACUAGUUCAAUUAUUCUCUUAUAUAUUUGCUUUGGUUUGUGUUGGCAUCAAUCACCAAAAAGGGGGAGAUUGAAAGGGAAAUAGGCUUUAAACCUUUUCCUAAAUGAUUUUGGUGGUUGAAUGUCCAACACAAACAAUUGGACUAAUUAGUUUGCUCUAGAUUACAUGUUCUACAGGUGCCAAAGAUUCAACUCAAAACCAAUAAAAAGAACAAGACAAGGUUCAAAAGAAAGGAGCAAAGAGAAACCGAAGUGCUCCCUGGUAUGGCGCACCGGACUGUCCGGUGUGCCACCGGACAGUGUCCGGUGCACCAUGUCACACCCGGUUUUAGAAGGCAAACCGAAUGCGAACCAUGUACGUGCCAGGAUCAGUUAUUCACGUACACAGCAGUUACAUAACAUGGACAUCAUCACACAGUGCUCAAAAUAGUACUAAAAGGGAAAUAAUAGUCGAUUACAUCAUACGUCUGAGACGUCCAUAUAGUUCUUACAAUAGAUCAAAGUGCGGAAAAGAAACGUAGAUAAACGCGGCCUUCACAGGCAGCCGACUGGGGGUUGCCGCUAACCCACACCUAGAACUCGUCGUAGUCUUGGAACUCCUGGAAGUCUCCUUCCACAGCUUCAUCUUCGCCUGAGCAGUGGUUGCAAUGCUGACAACCUGGGGGGGGGGGGUUUGGUGUGUAGAGCAAGGGUGAGUACACAUCAACAUACUCAGCAAGUAUCCUGUUUGGCUGUAGUGGACUAGCUUUAUGUGGGGAUAAGUCAAGCAGUUGCUUUUAGUUGGUCAGAUUAUUACUUACUAGUAGAAAGCCAAGUUUUAUCAUUACCCAAGUUAUUAACCCGAUGUACCCUUUCCAAACGGAAAGAAUACCACUUACCAGCACCAUAGCCAUAACCAAAACCAUCAAUCUCAUUGCCACCUGUAAACCAAGAGGUCUCUUAUCAAGUACCACUAAUCACUGGAGCUCCCUUGGCCGCUCAUAACCGUGAGCACGGCUGAUAUAUCAGUUUCAUAACACUCUGCAGAGGUUGUGCACUUUACCCACAAGCUGUGAUUCCCUCUUGCCUCGGGCCGAUCAAACCCUUAAACACUACCAAGGUGAAUAGGCAGGGUUUCACUACGUAGCCUUUACAGAGAUUCCUCGGGGCUGUAGCCGCCCGUUAGGUUUCCUAAAUGUACCGCACUCCUCCCCAAGGGACAAAUCAACCUUGGCAGAGCGAGCCGCAUACACCGAGCCCCAUUGACGGCACGACGGCGAAGCGAACUACACCCCGGAUCCUCUAAUUAUUCAGCUAAGGGCACCCCAUUCCACCCUCAUGGUUGCACUGUUUUCCCGGGCGGUCAUCCAUAGAACAGGUCCUUACGGAGAGGCACUCGAGAAACCGCUCGAGCCCCCUUAAAGCCACAAGUACAACAUCAUAAUAAGAGAAGGGAAAACAGCGUAUCAUAGAUAAUCUCAUCAUGUUCAUUGAUUAGAGUUGAGCAAUAGCAUAAAGCUAAGCAAUAAUAAUCCAACCCAAAUAGGUAAACAAGGACAUGGAUAACAAAAGCUAGUCAAACCUUAGGUAUAAAUAUGUAGAGCGGGAGGUGAAUUAAAUAAUGAAUAGGACAGAGAUAGGUCAAAGGACACUUGCCUCCACCAACCGAGUGCUGCUCAGGGGCUUCUCCUGCGAGUUCCUCGGGCUCUUCAACCGGAUCGUUCUCUAUGCGAGCGCAAACAUACAUACAUCCACAUAUUUAAUACAAAAGAACAGUACAUCAUACAAUAGAAUGCAAUAAGUAAACAGACGUUCCACGCGGGCUCGCGAGUACGGUUAAGAGAGAAAGAGGAAAAGACAGUCGAGAAACGAUCACGUUACAUGAUUACAAAUUAACCACUCGCUUAAUGGAAGGAAAUUUAAUGUAGACACUAUGUUCAGCGUAAAGUAAAGUCAUGUUUCAUGUCUAAUUAUUAUAAGUAGGUGGAGAUAAAUAAAAAGAAUGGUCACGCGGCGAGACGCGCGACAAAGCACUCUAAAACAAAUUAAAAGCUAGCGACUCGUCGCGCGACCGAGCACGCAAUGAGGCACUUCGCCUUAGUUAUGAGGAGACGUUAAACGUCGCGCGACGAAGCGCACGACGGCAUACGUCGACUAAACUGAGUCCAAAGUGGAACGUCGCGUGAAUGCACACGCGGCGUUACACCUUAAACAACCUGAGACAAAAAUGGAUCGUCGCGCGACGAAGCGCACGACGCAACACACAGAUAGAAUCUGAAAUUAGACAAACCGUCGCGCGACGAAGCGCGCGACGCAGCACGUUAACUAUCGAAUAAUCACCGCGAGCGCGGGCGAACGGGGACACGGUCGGGCGAGGCCGGGACGGGAACGGGCGGCCGAACGGGGGGGAGGGCGGUUGAACCGGCCCAGGGGCGGUUGAGCCGGCCCAGGGGCGGCCGAGUCGGCCGGGGCCGCGCCGGGGCCGAAGGCCGCGCCGGGGGCCGCGAACCGGCGAGCAGGGGCGGGCGGGAUCGCCGCCGCGGGGCCGAGGGACGGGCGGGGGGCGGGCGAGGUCGCCGGGGUCGGGGGAGGGGAGGGGGAGGCCGGCCGCGGGCCAGGGGAGGGCGGGCGCCGCCGCCGUGGGCGGGGAAGGGGCGGGCGAGGGCCACCGCGGCCGGGCAGGGGCGGGGGCGCCGCGCCGCCGGCGAGCAGGGGCGGGCAUGGGGCGCGCACGAGCAGGGGAAGAAGGGGGCGCGCGUGGGGAGAAGAAGGGGGAGGGAGAGGGAGAGAGAGAAGAGAAGGGGAGGGGAGGGGAGCUCACCUCGGGGUCCAAAAUCCGGUGAUCGUCGUCUCCAAACCCUAGGGCACCACGGGGAGAGAGAGGUGGGAGAGGGAGAGGGAAGUUGUUGCGCGGGAGAUCCAAAUGAGAGAGAGAGAAGAGGUGGGGGCGCAUGGGGGGGUUGGGCGCCAGGGGCGCGCAGGCCGGGGCGGGCCAGGCCGGGUGAGCUCGGCUGGACUAAGCUGGGCUGGGCCGAACCACUUCGCGGAUCAAAAACCCACGACGUGCGCGACCACUAAACGGAAUUAAAUCGCGAACCGAAAUCCGGAACGGAACGAGACGAACACUCAACAUCAGACAAAGAAAUGUGCUCGGCAUGAUGCAACACCCAUGACACUUAGGUUUUGGUUUAUACAUGACACGAACACUUGUCACUAUACUGGUUUGAAAUUGGGAAGAGGGAGCAAACGGGAAAAGAGAAAAGAGAGUAACGCCCGAAUUUGGUGAGAGAAAAGAAGAAAAAAUUCUACCCCCAAAUUCAGGGCGUUACAAACCUAUCCCCCUUAAAAGAAUCUCGCCCUCGAGAUUCAUGGUUGGCUAGCAAAGAGCUCAGGGUAUUUAGUCAUCAGAUCAUCUUCACGCUCCCAGGUUGCUUCUUCUUCAGAGUGGUGAUCCCAUCUAACUUUGCACAUUCUGAUGGUCUUCCUUCGGGUGACUCGGUCUGCAACCUCAAGGAUCUGCACUGGAUUCUCAACGUAGGUCAAGUCCUCCUGGACUUCAAGAUCUUCCACUGGCAACUGCUCUUCUGGCACACGCAAGCACUUCUUCAACUGAGACACAUGAAAGACAUCAUGCACAGCAGACAAAUUCUCUGGCAAACUGAGCUGAUAGGCCACUUCUCCACGUCUUGCAAGAAUCUGAUACAGACCAAUGUAGCGGGGUGCUAACUUGCCUUUCACUCCAAAUCUUCUGACUCCUCUGAUCGGUGACACUUUCAGAUAGACAAAAUCUCCGACUUCGAAACUCAGCUCUCUUCUUCUUGUGUCUGCAUAGCUUCGCUGCCUCGAUUGCGCUAUCUUCAGAUUCUCUCGGACCAUCUUGAUGUUCUCUUCGGCUUCAAGCAAAAUGUCUGGCCCAAACACUUGCUUCUCUCCAGGCUGAUCCCAUUGCAACGGAGUUCUGCAACUCCUUCCAUAGAGCGCCUGAAAUGGUGACAUCUUCAAACUGGACUGGUAACUGUUGUUAUAGGAAAACUCUGCAUAAGGCAAUCUCUUGUCCCAUCCGGACUGAUCUUGCAACGCACAGGCUCUCAACAUGUCUUCAAGAACUUGGUUGGUCCUUUCGGUCUGGCCAUCUGUCUGCGGGUGAUAAGCUGAACUGAAAUUCAGAUGUGUGCCCAAGGCUUCAUGCAACUGCUGCCAGAAAUGAGAGGUGAACUGCGUUCCUCUGUCUGAUACUAUCUUCUUUGGCACACCAUGAAGACAAACGAUCCGAGACAUAUACAAUUCUACCAAUACUGCACUACUGUAAUUGGUCUUGACAGGUAUGAAGUGGGCUGACUUGGUCAAACGGUCCACUACUACCCAAAUGGAAUCGUAGCCGGCUCGAGUGCGAGGCAAUCCGACUAUGAAAUCCAUACCGAUUUCGUCCCAUUUCCACUGAGGGAUCUGCAACGGUUGCAACAAUCCAGCAGGUCUCUGGUGCUCUGCCUUAAUUCUUCGACAACUAUCGCACCUAGCCACAUGCUCUGCGAUUUCUCUCUUCAUUCCGUACCACCAGAAUUUCUUCUUCAGAUCCUGAUACAUCUUCUCACUGCCAGGGUGAAUCGAAUAAGCUGUCUCAUGAGCUUCCUUAAGGAUCAACUCCCGAAUGGACUGGACAUUGGGAACACACAAGCGGUCUUUGAACCAUAUCACGCCUUCUGCAUCUUCUCGAAAAUCUUUGCCUCUGCCAUCUAGAAUCAGUCGCCGAAUCUCACUGAUCUUUUCAUCAUUCUUCUGCGCUUCUUUGAUUUCGCGCUCCAGGGUAGGUUCCAACUCAACUGUGACUCCUCGCGAAUUGUUCAGAAAUCCGAGACUCAAUCUGUCAAACUCCUUGGCCAACUCAUAAGGCAUCGGACGAGCGACCAUCAGAUUGACUUGACUCUUCCUGCUUAAAGCAUCUGCCACUACGUUUGCUUUGCCUGGAUGGUAAUGAAUCUCCAACUCAUAAUCUUUGAUCAACUCUAACCAUCUUCGUUGCCUCAUGUUCAACUCUGACUGAGUGAAUAUGUACUUCAGACUCUUGAGGUCUGUGUAAACAUCGCAUUUAUGUCCAUACAGAUAGUGCCUCCAUGUCUUCAGUGCGUGAACCACUGCUGCCAACUCUAGAUCAUGGAUUGGGUAGUUCUUCUCAUGAACCUUCAGCUGUCGGGACGAGUAAGCCACAACUCUUCCCUCUUGCAUCAACACACAUCCCAAACCUGUGUAACAAGCAUCACAAUACACCGAGAAGGGCUUGUGCACAUCAGGCAAGACUAGGACAGGCGCUGUAGUCAACUUCUCUUUUAGCGCUUCAAAGGCCUCUUGGCAUUUCUGGGUCCACUUGAACUCAACUUUGUUGCCUAGCAACGCUGUCAUCGGUUUUGCAAUCUUCGAAAACCCUUCAAUGAAUCGCCGAUAAUAUCCGGCCAUUCCAAUGAAACUCUUGAUUCCUCGAGCAUCUGUUGGCGCUUUCCAGUUCAAAAUGUCUGCCACUUUCUUCGGAUCCAGAGCCAAUCCUUCUUUGUUGAUUAUAUGACCCAAGAACAGGACUUCACUGAUCCAGAACUCACACUUGCUCAACUUUGCAUACAACUGGUGCUCUUGCAAUCUCUGCAACACCAUCUUCAAAUGAUCCGCAUGCUCUUCUUCGCUUUGAGAGUAAAUCAGAAUGUCAUCAAUGAAUACCACCACAAACUUAUCGAGAUAAUCCAUGAAUACACUAUUCAUCAAGUUCAUGAAAAAGGCUGGUGCAUUGGUCAAACCAAAAGACAUCACUGUGAACUCAUACAAACCAUACAUGGAAAUGAAUGCCGUCUUCGGAAUGUCCGAAGGUCGGAUCCUGAGCUGAUGAUAACCUGACCUCAGAUCAAUCUUGGAGAACACACUGGCUCCUCUCAACUGGUCGAACAGAUCUUCUAUUCUGGGCAAAGGAUACUUGUUCUUGAUCGUGACUUCAUUCAAAGCUCGAUAAUCGAUACACAUCCUUUUGGUGCCAUCUUUCUUUUCCACGAACAAGACAGGAGCGGCCCAAGGCGAGGUGCUUGGCCGAAUGUAACCUUUCUCUGACAGCUCAUCAAUCUGCUCCUUAAGCUCAACCAACUCUGGUCCGGAUAUUCUGUAAGCUCUCUUAGAGAUAGGGGCGGUUCCAGGAAGAAGCUCUAUGGCAAACUCAACUUUCUGCUCUGGUGGCAUACCCGGUAAGUCCUUUGGAAACACAUCUGGGAACUCAGACACAACCUUGAUACUCUCAAUUGGGUCUGCUUCACUGCUAUCGACAACCAUCUGAUAACAACUUCCUUUCUUUGGCUCAGGCGGGACUAACUCGGUCACCACUUCCUCUCCUAUUGGGGACACCAACUUGAUUGUCCUCUUAUCACAACUGAUAACUGCCUGAUACUUAUCUAGCCAAUUCAUCCCUAGGAUGACAUCUAUUCCCUGAGUACCCAUUACUAUAAGGUUAGCGGGAAACGCUAUCCCCCUUAUUUCCACACUUAUAUUCAAACAAAUGCUAUCGGCUCGAAUUCUACCACCGGCUAAGUCAAUUUGAAUGGGGGUUGACAUGGUAGUAAUUGGAAGAUUAUGUGCUUCUACCCAUGAUGCAGUAAUGAAAGAAUGCGUUGCUCCAGUAUCAAAUAACACUUCUGCAAUAUGGGAGUCGACUGGGAACAUACCUACUAUCAUGCCGGGGGUCUCCUGAACUGCUUCUGCCUCCAAGUGGUUCAGUCUCCCAUGAUUGUAACGCGGCUGAGAGCGAUUGCCUGCUCCAGGCUGAGGCACAUUCUGCUUCGCUGGGGCAUUGGGGCCUGACUGCUGCUGGGCUGCCUUCUUCGGACAUUGCAUCACCCAGUGGCCUUGCUCUCCAUAGUGGAAACAUGCUCUGUUUCCAACCUGAGCUGGUGCUGCCUGACUGUUCUGCUGAUUUGCUGGGGCAGGAAGACGAGGUGCUUGCUGAUUCUGCUUCUGAAACUGACCUCCUGACUGAUUGCUCUGACGGUUCUGGUACUGAUGCUGAGGAUACUGCCUUUGGAACUGCUGAUGCUGCUGAGGUGGACGCUGGUUCUGCCUGAACUGCUGAGGUUGAUUGCCUGAGAAACGAGGACGGCUGCUGCUUCCAGGCUGGGGUCCACUGAUCUUGCGCUUACGACCCUCCAUCUCCUUACGCUUUCUCUCUGUCAUGAUUGCUCUGUCAAUCAGGUGCUGAAAUGUCGGAAAGGUGUGAUUCAUCAGUUGGUACUGCAGAGGGUCAACCAGGCCUCUCAGGAAACGGUACUGUCGCUUGGCGUCGGUGUUGACAUCUUCAGGAGCAUAGCGAGACAAUUGCAGAAACCUGUCUCGAUAUUCACUGACAGACAACGGCCCUUGCUUGAGAGCCAGGAACUCCUCUUUCUUCACUGUCAUCAGACCUGCAGAAACAUGGUACUGACGAAAGCUUCCUCUGAACUCUUCCCAGGUGAUGGCGUCAGGAUGGGCAUGGGUGGCGAGGUAAGACUCCCACCAUGAUUGGGCUGCUCCUCUCAACAGACGGGGACCAUACAAGACUUUCUCCCUAUCAUCGCACUGAGCGGUAUGCAACUCGCGCUCCACAGUGCGCAGCCAGUCUUCAGCAUCCAUGGGGUCAGAAGAAUGAGCGAACGUUGGUGGAUGACCUCUCAUGAAUUCAGCACGCUUGUCUCUAGGCAUCUGAGGCAUCUGAGGCUGAGGUAGGGCCUGCUGCUGUUGCUGCUGCUGCUGCUGAAUGGCGGCCAAAGUCUGCCCGAUAGCUUGAACUGCUUGAGUCUGCAUCAGAAACAUCUGCUCGAUCGACAUCGGGGGCGGGGGCGGCAGGUGCUGCUGCUGGGGCACCUCAUCCUGCGGAGCGGCUCACUCCUGCUGAGCACGCCUUCCUCCUCUGCGCCUGUUCUCUGACAUCUGCAGAAUGCAACCACACAUCAGAACUGAUCUGGCAAAUCUUGCAGCAUAAGAAAAGAGUAGAGGAUUCUUCAACAGCACUGAACAGAUGAGCAUCUUCACUGAUCUCCAACACAGACCACACAGCUUCUCAGAUAAAGAGGAAAGUGGAAUAAAAGGUUUCCCAACUAUAUAACUAACUUUAUUAACAUAAUAGGUAAACCAAAAUGCAGGGGAUACCCACACUCUGGUGACAAUCAUUACAAAGAUCCAAACCAAACAUAGUUCAUCAUGACAAACAUAAAUGCACAGGAUAUAGCAAACUACCCUGUCUAACUAAGACUAACUAAAACCGAGACUAACGCUAAGGCUGAAGCUUCUAUGUAUAUAUAUUUUGUAUUAAUUACAAGAUCCAACUCUAACGAUCUAUGGUUCUAGAGUUAUCUUGGUCUUGCAGUCGGGAUUGCCAUAAGACUGGGAUCCACGCCGAGGUGAGCGGUACAGGUGCUGAGUCCCGACGGGAGCGGGGGAACCAUCCUCCAGGUGACGACGUUCCGCGCGCUCAGCCCGCAGCUGGGCGAUCUCAGCACGAGCCCUACUCAGCUCGUCCAAUGCAUGGUCGAGCUCCGUGUUUAGCACGGCGGCUAGGUUGACUGUGCUGCUCAACCUAGGAUUGCCCUCACCGACAGGUGAGACAAUCACGCCUCCUGUGCUGCCAGAUGAACGGCGGGGGUAAUACUUCAGGUCAAGACCGUCAGCUACCCCACCGAAAACCGAGCAGUAGUGCGAAAGCGCACGCCGUGCAGCAUCUUGCAUGGCUGCCUCAGCUGAGUCCCGUUCAGAGAUAGAAUAGUGCUCUGAGCAGGCCUCUGCACCCUGGAGACUGUUCUCCGGACGGCGCACCAAGCAAGUUGCCUCCCAGCGGUCCGGGUAGACCCCGCGACAGUGCUGGUAGACCACACAGCGAUACUCGAUGGACCAAGUAUGCCGGUUAAGUGCCCGACGUAGCAGGGUAUCAAGCGCAUCGUGGAAGUGACACCCGCGAGCAGCGUCGCGAGUGAUGGAUCGAGCAAACCAUCCUUCCAGCUCAUGGUUAGCAGAGAAGUCGGUGCCGUGGCUCGAGCUGUCGUCGCCAUCUCCGUCGUCUGGGUCUCCUCCAGCAGCUAUUCCAGGGGCUGGGGCGCCCUGUGGUGGUGCAGGGGGCGCCUCCAGAGGAAGCACAGGGGAGCAGCUCCUCACAGACUCUAUCUCCUGUUGGAGCGAGAAGGAAGAGCCCUGCUGCUCCUGCUCCUGUCGUCGACGUUCCUACUCCUCAUGCAGGCGGUGGUGCAGUCUCUCCAAGUGGCUGGACUGUCCGGCCACAGGACGGCGAAGCGGACGCUCAGCAAGGCGGGAGGGUAAGAAAGGGAUGACGGACUUUCGUGCAGUGUGUCUAAGACGAGCCAUCUACAAAAGACAUCGCAAGCAAAAGGGUGAGAACAGAAUCAAUAUGACCAGCAAGUAAUGAACCAUAAAUAAAUGAAGGAUUAGGAUAAAACAUGAUUUUCAGCAAGGUAUAGUAUAUAGUAGAACAUAGGUUUGGUCGGUAUGACCAACUUUUGAAGGGAUAUCAAAGUCAAGGCAAGGACAGAGGUCUAUAGUCCUUAGAACGACCAUUCUACUCUAGGUUAGCGGUCCUACAGUCAGCACGGCUUUGAUACCACUUAUGUCACACCCGGUUUUAGAAGGCAAACCGAAUGCGAACCAUGUACGUGCCAGGAUCAGUUAUUCACGUACACAGCAGUUACAUAACAUGGACAUCAUCACACAGUGCUCAAAAUAGUACUAAAAGGGAAAUAAUAGUCGAUUACAUCAUACGUCUGAGACGUCCAUAUAGUUCUUACAAUAGAUCAAAGUGCGGAAAAGAAACGUAGAUAAACGCGGCCUUCACAGGCAGCCGACUGGGGGUUGCCGCUAACCCACGCCUAGAACUCGUCGUAGUCUUGGAACUCCUGGAAGUCUCCUUCCACAGCUUCAUCUUCGCCUGAGCAGUGGUUGCAAUGCUGACAACCUGGGGGGGUUUGGUGUGUAGAGCAAGGGUGAGUACACAUCAACAUACUCAGCAAGUAUCCUGUUUGGUUGUAGUGGACUAGCUUUAUGUGGGGAUAAGUCAAGCAGUUGCUUUUAGUUGGUCAGAUUAUUACUUACUAGUAGAAAGCCAAGUUUUAUCAUUACCCAAGUUAUUAACCCGAUGUACCCUUUCCAAACGGAAAGAAUACCACUUACCAGCACCAUAGCCAUAACCAAAACCAUCAAUCUCAUUGCCACCUGUAAACCAAGAGGUCUCUUAUCAAGUACCACUAAUCACUGGAGCUCCCUUGGCCGCUCAUAACCGUGAGCACGGCUGAUAUAUCAGUUUCAUAACACUCUGCAGAGGUUGUGCACUUUACCCACAAGCCGUGAUUCCCUCUUGCCUCGGGCCGAUCAAACCCUUAAACACUACCAAGGUGAAUAGGCAGGGUUUCACUACGUAGCCUUUACAAAGAUUCCUCGGGGCUGUAGCCGCCCGUUAGGUUUCCUAAAUGUACCGCACUCCUCCCCAAGGGACAAAUCAACCUUGGCAGAGCGAGCCGCAUACACCGAGCCCCAUUGACGGCACGACGGCGAAGCGAACUACACCCCGGAUCCUCUAAUUAUUCAGCUAAGGGCACCCCAUUCCACCCUCAUGGUUGCACUGUUUUCCCGGGCGGUCAUCCAUAGAACAGGUCCUUACGGAGAGGCACUCGAGAAACCGCUCGAGCCCCCUUAAAGCCACAAGUACAACAUCAUAAUAAGAGAAGGGAAAACAGCGUAUCAUAGAUAAUCUCAUCAUGUUCAUUGAUUAGAGUUGAGCAAUAGCAUAAAGCUAAGCAAUAAUAAUCCAACCCAAAUAGGUAAACAAGGACAUGGAUAACAAAAGCUAGUCAAACCUUAGGUAUAAAUAUGUAGAGUGGGAGGUGAAUUAAAUAAUGAAUAGGACAGAGAUAGGUCAAAGGACACUUGCCUCCACCAACCGACUGCUGCUCAGGGGCUUCUCCUGCGAGUUCCUCGGGCUCUUCAACCGGAUCGUUCUCUAUGCGAGCGCAAACAUACAUACAUCCACAUAUUUAAUACAAAAGAACAGUACAUCAUACAAUAGAAUGCAAUAAGUAAACAGACGUUCCACGCGGGCUCGCGAGUACGGUUAAGAGAGAAAGAGGAAAAGACAGUCGAGAAACGAUCACGUUACAUGAUUACAAAUUAACCACUCGCUUAAUGGAAGGAAAUUUAAUGUAGACACUAUGUUCAGCGUAAAGUAAAGUCAUGUUUCAUGUCUAAUUAUUAUAAGUAGGUGGAGAUAAAUAAAAAGAAUGGUCGCGCGGCGAGACGCGCGACAAAGCACUCUAAAACAAAUUAAAAGCUAGCGACUCGUCGCGCGACCGAGCACGCAAUGAGGCACUUCGCCUUAGUUAUGAGGAGACGUUAAACGUCGCGCGACGAAGCGCACGACGGCAUACGUCGACUAAACUGAGUCCAAAGUGGAACGUCGCGUGAAUGCACACGCGGCGUUACACCUUAAACAACCUGAGACAAAAAUGGAUCGUCGCGCGACGAAGCGCACGACGCAACACACAGAUAGAAUCUGAAAUUAGACAAACCGUCGCGCGGCGAAGCGCGCGACGCAGCACGUUAACUAUCGAAUAAUCACCGCGAGCGCGGGCGAACGGGGACACGGUCGGGCGAGGCCGGGACGGGAACGGGCGGCCGAACGGGGGGGAGGGCGGUUGAACCGGCCCAGGGGCGGUUGAGCCGGCCAGGAGCGGCCGAGUCGGCCGGGGCCGAGCCGGGGGCCGCGCCGGGGCCAAAGGCCGAGCCGGGGGCCACGAAUCGGCGAGCAGGGGCGGGCGGGAUCGCCGCCGCGGGGCCGGGGGACGGGCGGGGGGCGGGCGAGGUCGCCGGGGUCGGGGGAGGGGAGGGGGAGGCCGGCCGCGGGCCGGGGGAGGGCGGGCGCCGCCGCCGCGGGCGGGGAAGGGGCGGGCGAGGGCCGCCGCGGCCGGGCAGGGGCGGGGGCGCCGCGCCGCCGGCGAGCAGGGGCGGGCAUGGGGCGCGCACGAGCAGGGGAAGAAGGGGGCGCGCGUGGGGAGAAGAAGGGGGAGGGAGAGGGAGAGAGAGAAGAGAAGGGGAGGGGAGGGGAGCUCACCUCGGGGUCCAAAAUCUGGUGAUCGUCGUCUCCAAACCCUAGGGCACCACGGGGAGAGAGAGGUGGGAGAGGGAGAGGGAAGUUGUUGCGCGGGAGAUCCAAAUGAGAGAGAGAAGAGGUGGGGGCGCAUGGGGGGGUUGGGCGCCAGGGGCGCGCAGGCCGGGGCGGGCCAGGCCGGCUGAGCUCGGCUGGACUAAGCUGGGCUGGGUCGAACCACUUCGCGGAUCAAAAACCCACAACGUGCGCGACCACUAAACGGAAUUAAAUCGCGAACCGAAAUCCGGAACGGAACGAGACGAACACUCAACAUCAGACAAAGAAAUGUGCUCGGCAUGAUGCAACACCCAUGACACUUAGGUUUUGGUUUAUACAUGACACGAACACUUGUCACUAUACUGGUUUGAAAUUGGGAAGAGGGAGCAAACGGGAAAAGAGAAAAGAGAGUAACGCCCGAAUUUGGUGAGAGAAAAGAAGAAAAAAUUCUACCCCCAAAUUCAGGGCGUUACACACCACCGGACCGUGUCCGGUGCACCAGGGAGGAUUGCCUUCAAACUCUUCACCUUCGGGUUUCUCAGGCGCAGGCCACUAUAAUUCACCGAACUGUCCGGUGCACCACCGGACAGGUGCUCCAGAGUGAAGCGGCUCUGAACUGGCCAGCUUCGGGAAAGUAGGAGGUCGCUCCGCUAAAAUUCACCGGACUGUCCGGUGUACACCGGACUGUCCGGUGUGCCAGCGGAGCAACGGUCAUCUGCGCGCAACGGUCGACUCUGCAAAGUGUACAGUUGAAUUCAGAGUGUCAGAGCAGAAGUCAGAGGGGCACCGGACUGUCCGGUGCUGCACCGGACUGUCCGGUGCCACAUGAGGACAAAGCCUCCAACGGUCGACCAGCUCCAAUCUCAACGGAUAGGAUGACUUGGCCGGCGCACCGGACAUGUCCGGUGUGCACCGGACUGUCCGGUGCGCCCAUCGCCAGCAGCUUCUCCAUCGGCUACAAAAUUGGAUGGUGGCUAUAAAUACCACCCCAACCGGCCACUUCAAGGUGUGGGAGCCCAAGCAACAUUCCAAGUCAUCUAGUUGACAUACUCAAGCCCUCCCAACCACAUAUAUUCAUUGAUCCAUCCUAUACACAAGAUUUAGUCCACUACAACCAACACAAGUGCCACAAAAGAGAGAGCAAGCAAUUGAGAGCUACUCAAUUGAGUUUAGCCCUAGCGCCUUGUGAGAUUCAUUGAGAGAUAGUGUGUGCUACAUCCUUGUGUUCAUUUGUGCGUGGAGUAUUGACUCCCAUCGAACUUCCUCCAAAGUUUUGGAGGCUUGUAAAAGCUAGCAAGAGACACCAAAGAGUGUGGUGGUCCUUGUGGGAUCGAGAGUGAUCCUUGAGAAGAAGAAGAGCUCACCGAUCCUUGUGUGAUCGGGGGAGAGAGGGAAAGGGUUGAAAAAGACCCGUCCUUAAGUGGACUCCUCAACGGGGACUAGGCCUUCGAGGGCCGAACCUCGGUAAAACAAAUCACCCGUGUCCAUUGUGUUUAUUGCUUGUGAUUUGUUUGUUUUCCCUUGCUCUAAGUUUUCUUGCACCAUUAUUUGCUAAUAUCAUUUGGUGUUGCUUCAAGUUAAAUUCCCAUUUAGUGAAGCAACACGUUGCAAGAAAGAACUUGACCUAGUGCUCUUCUCAUCUAAGGCUUCUUGCUUUGUUAUUCUAUAACUUAUUAAUUGUAUUGAUUUAUCACUCCCACAUUAUUUAGCAAUACUCUUUUCAAGCAAGAACUUAGUUUGUAUACUCCUAUUUUUGUAUAUCUUGUUCUAACCACUACUCAAGGGAUCUAGUUGGGGGAUAAAGUUUUAAUUUUCAGGUUUCGCCUAUCCACCCCCCCUCUAGGCGACUUUCAAGUUCAUCAUAGAGUCGGCUCUCUACUACCAUCUGAUGGCCCACCUCCCAAAUUCCUGCAAUUAUAUAUAUAUGACAUUGCAAAUGAGAUCACAAAUAGAUUGCAAUGCUUAGAUACAAACAGAGAAUACAAUGAAGAUUUAAAUCCCAACAUUGUACAAAGCCUAACAAGGAUGCUUGAUAUCCACAAUCCAUUUGUGAAGAAAUUCAGAAUGGCUAGAGAUCGCUUGGCUGGCAAUGAGCCUGGAGAUUUCAUCAUUAGAAUUGUGGGUGCAAAAUAAGGUGAUCCUAUGCAAUACAAUUUACCAGCAACUGUCAAACUCGUGAUGUUGGUAGUAGGAGAUUUCUCCUUAGACACUUUCAAACGCGACAUAGUAAUAGAAACACAUGGUAGAGACCUCAAACGUAUAUCUUCUCUACAUCCAGCUUUCAUGCCUUUGCAAUAUCCCUUGCUGUUUCCAUACGGUGAAAGAGGAUUUCAAGUAGGUGUUCUAUAUAAUGGUAUCAACUCUAUAGAUGCAAAUAAACGACAAUGCAUGACAAUGCAAGAAUAUUUCUGCUACCAGUUCCAUUACAGAAAGAAUCAGCGAAAUCCUUAUUUAUGUUAUGGUCUGCUAUCCAGUCAAGCAAAGGUAGAUGCACCCGCAUGCAUUGAAGAAAACAGAUUAAACUACAUUGCUCAGAAUCAAGAAAAAAUGCAAAUUGAAACUAUACAAAGCAUUUCAGAUGCUGUGAGUCGCGGUUUUGUCAAUGGUGAGGAAAUAGGAAAGAUUAUGGUUUUACCUGCCUCAUAUACUGGUGGAAGACGAUACAUGGUACAAAAUUAUCAUGAUGGAUUAGCUAUCUGUAGAGUCCAUGGACCACCAGACUUUUUUUCUCACAUUCACAUGUAAUCCUCAAUGGCCUGAUAUUACAAAUAGUUUCUUCGAAAGAGGUCAAACACCACCUGAUAGAUCAGAUGUCGUUGUAAGGGUUUACCACAUGAAAUUUGAUGAUCUCAUAUAAGACAUUAAAGGUGGAGUACUAUUUGGACCAUGUCAUGCAGGUACAAGUACAACAAUAAAACCUCACUAUAAAUUGCUCACACUUAAGUGCUUCCUGCUAUAAAGUUUUACUAAUAAAAUAUUUCGCUUGCAGUUCUAUACACUAUUGAAUCCAAAAACGUGGCCUUCCACAUGGUCAUGUUAUAUUUUGGGUAUCCGCAGACACAUCAGAACCAACUCCUCAGCUAAUUGAUUCUUUCAUAAGUGCUAAAAUCCAUGAUCCAGCCUCAGAUCCAUUGGGAUAUUCAUUAGUUGCAGAACAUAUGGUCCAUGCAUGUGGCAACCUCAAUCCACGAUCACCUUGCAUGAAAAAAUGGAAGAUGUUCAAAAAAUUAUCCUAAAGAUUUCCAACAUGAAACAUCUCUUGAUGCAAAUGGAUUUGCUUUGUAUAGACGAAGAAACAAUGGUCGAUUUGUUAUAAAAUCCAACAUCAAACUUGAUAACAGAUGGAUUGUUCCAUACAAUCUACCACUACUAAAAAGGUAUCAAGCCCAUAUUAAUUUUGAGUAGUGUAAUAAAAGCAUCUUCAUCAAGUAUCUUUUUAAGUAUGUGACCAAGGGACUAGAUCGUAGUAAGAUAUUCCUCCAACGAAUUCAAAAUGAUAGCGAUGUCCCAUAUGAUGAGGAUACACGUACAAAAAAUGAGAUCAAAGAAUAUUUGGAUACUCGCUAUAUAUGUGAUAAGGAUUCCAUGUGGCAAAUUUUAGGCUAUGAUAUUCAUACACUUUCCUGCUGUUGAGAGGCUACCUGUCCAUCUACCUGAUGAAAAUUACAUAGUAUACAUCUCUAAUACCAACAUGUCAAGACUCCUUUCUGAGGAAUUUCGCCGUCGAACAAUGUUAACAGAAUGGUUCACUGCUAAUAAAAACCACAACAAAGCUAGAGAACUUACCUACUGUAAUUUCCCUUCCAAAUGGCGUUGGGACGACAACUCCAAAACAUGGAUUGGAAGGCAUACAAAAGAAGGGAAAAUAGGACGCAUGUAUUAUGUUCAUCCAACAUCUGGAGAGCGAUAUUAUCUUAGAAUGUUGUUACUCACAGUUAAAGGAGCAUCUGAUUACAAAAGCCUUCGAACUUAUAAUAACAUUGUCUAUCCAACUUUUAAAGAGGCCUGCAAAGCUCGUGGCUUAAUUGGCAAUGACCAAGAAUGGUACAAUGCUUUUGAUGAGGCUGUAGCAUGGGCUUUACCACAUCAACUUCGCCAACUCUUUGUCACAAUGUUGCUAUACUACGAAGUAGGUGACGAAUACAACUUCUUUGAAAAGUUUGGAAGCUCUUAUGUGAUGACAUUCAAUAUAACUAUCGUCAAUUACUUAAUCAUCCUACUUAUGAAUUAGAGGAGAAGGAAAAUCAAAAUCAUUUACUUGGUGAUCUUGCUGAAUUAUUUUCAAAAUGUGGAGGCAACAUACAUGAUUUUAACUUACCAUCCAGAAGUUCUUCUUCUGAAUAGCCAUGUGGAAAUCGUUUAGUAAAUGAGGAACUCUAUUACAAUACACAAGAUAUGCUAAUCGAGUCUGAAACAUUACUAUCAAAACUAAAUCAUGAACAACUUGAGGUGUUUAACAUUAUUACUGAUGUUGUUGAUUCAGAAAAAGCUAGCUUCUUCUUUGUUUGUGGUUAUGGAGGUACAGGAAAAACAUUUUUAUGGAAAACUAUCAUAAAUCAUCUUCGUUCACAAUAAAAAAUUGUCCUAAGUGUUGCUUCUUCUGGCGUUGCUUCUCUUCUCUUACCUGGAGGCCGAACAACUCACUCACGAUUCAAGAUCCCUUGCGAUCUAGAUGAGACAACAGUCUGUAAUAUUAAGAGGGGGACAAUGCUUGCUGACCUAAUAAAACAAACAUGCUUGAUAAUAUGGGAUGAAGCUCUUAUGACACAUAAAGCAGCUUUUGAAGCUCUAGAUAGAACUCUGCGUGAUUUACUUUCAUUACACUCACCGGAUGCAAAAGAACUACCUUUUGGAGGGAAGGUUGUUGUCCUUGGUGGAGACCCUAGACAAAUAUUACCUGUUAUUGAAGGUGGAAGUCGUUCAGAAAUUGUUGCUGCUGCCAUUUGCAACUCAAAAUUAUGGUCCCAUGUCACUGUACUAACAUUGACUCAGAACAUGAGACUUCUAUCACCUAUAUUGACUGAGCAAGAUAAAUUGGAACUUGCUGAAUUCAACCAAUGGAUGCUAAAUAUCGGUGAAGGAAACAUACCAACAACUGCUAAAGGAGAUAACGAACCUUUUUGGAUAAAAAUACCUAAAGAGUUCGUCAUCAUGCCUCCAAAAAAUGCAAUAACAUCUCUUAUUGAGACUAUUUACCCUAACCUUGCCACAAGAUUCAACGACAUGGACUACUUGAGUGAAAGAGCAGUGUUGACACCAACUAAUGAAGUUGUUGACAAUGUUAAUGACGUUGUUGUCUCUAUGGUUCCUAGACAUGAAAAGGAAUAUCUAAGCUGUGAUCGCAUUGCGAGAACUCCAAACAUGCAUGAUUCAUAUGAGAUAUUAUACCCAGUUGAGUUCCUAAAUUCACUGAAUGGUAAUAAUUUCCCACAGCACAAAAUCAUUCUUAAAGAAGGUGUUCCCAUUAUGUUAUUAAGAAAUCUUAAUCAGUCCGAAGGACUUUGCAAUGGAACAAGAUUGGUUAUUUCACGUUUAGGCCAAAUGAUCAUAGAAGCAAAAAUAAUAUCUGGGAAUCAUAAAGGCAAAAUUAUUUUGAUUCCAAGGAUAGCUCUAACAUUAAAAACAACUAAAUGGCCUUUUAUUCUUGAAAGAAGGCAAUAUCCUAUUAAGAUUUGCUACGCCAUGACUAUUAACAAAAGCCAAGGACAAACACUUUCUAAUGUUGGGAUAUAUCUUAGAAAGCCAGUUUUUACUCAUGGUCAAUUGUAUGUUGUUGUAUCUCGAGCUACCUCAAAAGAUGGAUUGAAAAUCCUCAUAGAAGAUGAAAAUGGCAACCCAUGCAAUGAAACUAAGAAUGUUGUCUACAAAGAAGUGUUAUCCCGCUUCUUUUGAAGCAAUUUAUUUCCCAUAGAGUUUUACAAGUUUUAUUAUACAUAUUAUCCUUUUGCCUUCAUUAUUGCUAUGCAAGAGAAUUCCAUCUACAUAUAAAUGUACAGUUCUUCUUGGCUUUUCACUUCUCAAGUUUCUUAUAUAAAUAUCUGGUACAGUCCUCUAAACUGUAAAAACCUAUUAUUUGUUAAUAUAUAUACAUCAAAUUAUACUCUUCUAUAACUAAUAUAAAAUAUACAAAACUUUAUUUCCAGCAAGAACAUGGCACCGAUUCUGCUCCGAAACCUGAAGCCUCAAGAAAUUCUAGCAACUAUCGAAGU
This 18934-nucleotide long non-coding RNA is filed under the name Zea mays. Its description in RNAcentral is "long non-coding RNA (ZMAY_LNC003390)". Lineage: Eukaryota; Viridiplantae; Streptophyta; Magnoliopsida; Poales; Poaceae. The record is from RNAcentral.